UACGUAGGUGGCAAGCGUUGUCCGGAUUUACUUGGCGUAAAGAGCGCGCAGGCGGUCAGAUAAGUCGAAUGUGAAAGCCCCCGGCUCAACUGGGGAGGGUCAUUCGAUACUGUUCGACUCGAAGGCAGGAGAGGGAAGUGGAAUUCCCGGUGUAGUGGUGAAAUGCGUAGAUAUCGGGAGGAACACCAGUGGCGAAGGCGACUUCCUGGCCUGUUCUUGACGCUGAGGCGCGAAAGCUAGGGGAGCAAACGGG
Molecule: ribosomal RNA, 253 nt
Filed under: uncultured bacterium
Lineage: Bacteria
Description: partial 16S ribosomal RNA
Rfam family: Bacterial small subunit ribosomal RNA
Source: RNAcentral